RNAcentral lists this ribosomal RNA (253 nucleotides) under uncultured bacterium. Its description in RNAcentral is "partial 16S ribosomal RNA". It matches the Rfam family "Bacterial small subunit ribosomal RNA", at positions 524 to 776 of the family's 1533-position model. The record is from RNAcentral.
UACGUAGGUGGCAAGCGUUGUCCGGAAUUAUUGGGCGUAAAGCGCGCGCAGGCGGUCCUUUAAGUCUGAUGUGAAAGCCCACGGCUCAACCGUGGAGGGUCAUUGGAAACUGGGGGACUUGAGUACAGAAGAGGAAAGUGGAAUUCCACGUGUAGCGGUGAAAUGCGUAGAGAUGUGGAGGAACACCAGUGGCGAAGGCGACUUUCUGGUCUGUAACUGACGCUGAGGCGCGAAAGCGUGGGGAGCAAACGGG